RNAcentral lists this long non-coding RNA (476 nucleotides) under Gallus gallus (chicken). The record is from RNAcentral. Lineage: Eukaryota; Metazoa; Chordata; Aves; Galliformes; Phasianidae.
CUCAGACAAAAGUCUCUUUUGUUACGCUGUCCUGACCGUGACCCGAGGGGAGUGAGUGUGCCCACUGCACAUGUUCAGGUUGCGGCCGGGGUAGUGCACCCACCUGCUCUUUCAGCUCAGCCAGCUGGCUGGAGAGCUGUUUCACAAGGCUCAUGGUUGACUCCAGCCUCUCCUGCAGGUUCCUGAUCUCGUUUUGCUCGCUGUCGCCUUCAUUGCUGACCAGAGACAUGGCUCUCAUCCGAGGGAACCAGUCCAAAUUCUUCUCCACAAUCAUUUGUGCCACAUAGCUCUCUGGACCAGUGUAUUCUGUUGGAUCUUUCACUUUGACGAGAACUAUAAAGUACAAAUAAUGCCACAUGUUGUGUUCUGACUUUAUAUGCUCCUCAAAUGAAACUGUCUUGUUAUCAAAUUUGUCUCUCUCCAGUCCACAGAUGAAACAUGUUGUCUUCAGUAUUUCCUCCUUUUUCUGCUUUUCG